GCCAACUUAGCUCAGCGGUAGAGCUACCGCCUUGUAAGCGGUGGGUCAUCGGUUCAAGUCCGAUAGUUGGCUCCA
This 75-nucleotide transfer RNA is filed under the name candidate division SR1 bacterium RAAC1_SR1_1. RNAcentral's name for it is "tRNA-Thr (TGT) (tRNA-Thr-TGT-1-1)". It matches the Rfam family "tRNA". From Rfam's summary of the family: Transfer RNA (tRNA) molecules are approximately 80 nucleotides in length. Their secondary structure includes four short double-helical elements and three loops (D, anti-codon, and T loops). Lineage: Bacteria; Candidatus Absconditibacteriota. RNAcentral also lists the same sequence under 1 other name. The record is from RNAcentral.